AUGGUUCUCCAGAGAGUGGACGUUGUUCUGGCAGGCAUCGACAUCCUCCAGACGGUUAACUCGCCCACGCUCGAGUGCACGACUUAUCAGGCUGAGGUAUAUGAUCCACUACCAUCAUGGGAAAGAAAUGGUUUUAGUCCAGGGAACACUUUUGCCAAGUCUGGGCACACUCUAUAUUUAGUCAGGUGCUCUCUCUGUGCUAUUUUGGAUUCAAGAGUUAGGUGGAAACCAAGUGACGCACCUUUGAUUUGCAUUGGGUGUAGUCCAGGAAGGCUGAAUUAUGGACUGGACUACAAAGGGAACAUAUGUGGCAGCAAACAUGGCGAUCCAGAUUUGAGUGACCUGGAUUCAAAACCUUCACCUGAUUAUCAUGUAGUCCAAAAUAUUGAACUAGGAAUGAGUACAGUGAGCUGUUAUGGGAUGCCAUGGGAUUCUAGAUUACCCGAGAGUUUCAUGAUUUGGUAUCCUGGAAUACAACUCCGUAUUUUUGUUAAUUACUCAUGCCUGGGUUGCUUAAGGAGUUGCACUGGCUACGAAAAGGAUUAUAAUGUUGUAGGAAACCAGGAAGCCACAUAUUUGGUCAAGGCAGAGGCCAAGUUUACAUAUUACAUGGUGGCCUUACUAUUGUCAAUGAUGAAUUUUUUGCUAGAAAUUGUUCUGCUGUACUUGGUCGCACAAGAUUCACUGAUCAGUCAUUCUUAUGCUCAGUGCAAGAGGGCACACUUUUUGCUUCCAGGGCCAUGGCAACCAGCAAAAGAGAGAUACGAGCACGCAAGUACAGCUUGCAACGCCAUCGUCGAGCCGCCACUGAGCGCCAUCAUGCCAUUGAACAGGAUUGUGGCUUGCAGUUACAGUGUGGCGUGGUGUCUCGCUGAUGCGUCCUUGAGGCUCCUAAAGUGGUGGUAA
This 906-nucleotide ribosomal RNA is filed under the name Triticum aestivum (bread wheat). RNAcentral describes it as "partial small subunit ribosomal RNA". Lineage: Eukaryota; Viridiplantae; Streptophyta; Magnoliopsida; Poales; Poaceae. The record is from RNAcentral.